GACCUUCAGGGAAACGCUAUCGUCACUGUGGGAGGUGAGCGGGUCUACAGUAGGGUCACUAGAGGGGUCUACACUCCUGACAGAGGGGGUUCUUGUAUCGCUCUCAGUCCUGAUGGUCUUCCAGCUCCACUCGCUCUCCCAGUCUGAGAAUUGAGAGGCUCAGAGAGACUGUACUACUGCACCACCAGAGACGGAGGAGAGAUCCAACCAGACUGCUUACAGUCUCAUCCACCCUCACGUUCCUGUUGGCUGAACACAAGCUGGGGCAGGAGCGUGAAAUUAAUAAUGAGACUGAGGAGGAGAACUCACUGCCUGUGCUGAAGGGUUUCUGAUCUUCUUUCUUGUGAUUGAGAGGAAAAGGAAAAAGAGCCCACCCACCCUGAUGGGGAGUGAGUCUGAUCUUCACCCUGUUCUCUGCUCUCCUUCUGCGUUUGUGUCCACUGGCUCAGUCACUGAGCAGGAGAGAGAGCCCACAUGAUUCCCUGGAAAACACAGACAGACGUUUGGAACAGAUCAGCGGAAGACUGCAGGUGUUGCUUAAUGAAGGACAGUUUUGUACCAAAACAACUGAAAACCUGACAGAAUUAACGAGGACACCCUUUCUUGGAUAUUCUCUGUACGUGUUAACCACUAAACCAGACCGUCUCUUCAGUCUGCUUCCUGAAUAAUUAGUUUAUUGGCCUGUUUACUAUG
This is a non-coding RNA of Lepisosteus oculatus (spotted gar), 693 nucleotides long. The record is from RefSeq and is a predicted model, not a curated record. Lineage: Eukaryota; Metazoa; Chordata; Actinopteri; Semionotiformes; Lepisosteidae.